CUGAGCUCCCUCAGACAUCACAUGAACCUACAGAAACAAAGUUUCAUUAUUAUGUCACAGCCCUGUAUAGGCUUCCCCAACCACUGGGGAAGCCCAACUUUGAAAUCCUUCCACUGAGAAGCCGCAAACAGCUUUUGUUCUGAAAACCUGUACUGUUGGUAUAAGCAGGAAAACAUCAAAGAGGCUGGCAUUUCAUUGGUAAUAUUUAGAAGGUCAGUGUCACCCCUCAGGAAGGAGAUGUGAAAUUCCUACUCUCAAAUUCUUAUGCCAGAGAGGCUUGUGGAUUUACUGCUCAUUUGCACAGACAUUUUUCUCCCUCUGAACUAAAUAUCCAG
Molecule: long non-coding RNA, 335 nt
Filed under: Bos taurus (domestic cattle)
Lineage: Eukaryota; Metazoa; Chordata; Mammalia; Artiodactyla; Bovidae
Description: long non-coding RNA NONBTAT000724
Source: RNAcentral